Molecule: long non-coding RNA, 437 nt
Organism: Eurytemora carolleeae
Lineage: Eukaryota; Metazoa; Arthropoda; Copepoda; Calanoida; Temoridae
Exons: 3
Source: RefSeq, a predicted model, not a curated record
UCUACGUACCAGGCCUGCACAACUUUGGCUUAGUUGUACCUUCUUCGUUAGUUUCUCCGACGAGAAGAACUCUUGCUCCCCUCCGAUACCUCCACGGAAGGGCUCUAAUUCUGUAUCCCUGGUCUAGCUCCUCCUCUAGAUCAAAUACAGUUAUCCUGUUCGCGACUGCGGUGCAAUUUAAUGAACUAUAGGCUACAAACCUCUGGACAAAUCAACAUUUUCACGGUUGAGUCCUGUAUAAACUGCCUACCUGAAAUAUAUACAAAGAUUAAAUCAGUGCAAAUUGAGGUGAGCCGAAGAGAAAAGAGUUCUACGCUCAACUCUUUAUGUUUGUAGUUAUUACCUGGUUCCUAAAGGUAAAAUUGAGCAUAGAUUUAAGACGCGGCACAAAUUCAUUAAAUUCGUACUCAGUCCCGUUAAAACUUUGAAAAAUCUCU